CAGCUUUAUAAACAGAGGCGUUUUCUGUUGCGGAGCCUGUACAACAACAGGCAGUUUAUCUGGAGAUAACUUGGUCCCUGAGAAGGCUGAAAUCACCUGUCCCAGCCAGAUCCUGACAGAGCUGGACCUGGGGUAGAACAAACGGGGAGAUUCCAGAGUGCAGCUGCUGUGUGAGAGACUGAAAUAUCCAACCUGCAAACUACAGAAACUUGGGUUGGACUAUCGCUGUGUAAACAAUGAAACCCGGCCAGAGCUGGAUGCUGUGAAAAACAUAAAACCUGAUCUGGGCAUAGAGAUUUGAUGCAGCUGGUGGGUGCCAACCCCUGCACCAACAUGGCUGUGGCCUGGCUGCCCUGCCGCUAGCCAGGACAGCAGCUGUGGGAUGGGCAACACCUGCCCCUUCUAAGAUCAACCGCACCAUUACCAAGGACUUUGUCAACAUAUCUGAGCAUCUGUGGUAGAGGGGCUGGGUAGAGAUUGUCAGGGCCAACCCUCCUGCCUCAGGGUGAGAGACUCAGGACUAGGAGCUGGGUUUGCUCCACUACUGGGCUGACCUUGGAGGUGGUAACUGGUUUGUGGGGGGAAUGAGCAGGAGAGAAGAAGGGGGUCAGGACCCAAUGGAGGGAGAGACGUGAGAGCAUGAGAUAGAGGGGUCUGUAACCUCCCUUCUCAGUCCCUGUCAGUGCAGGGGGGAGACUCAAGAACCAUCCUUGGAGCCACUGGGGAAUUUCAUUCACUAUUAUUUGUAUAUUUACAAGGGGCUUUAUAAUUUUACACAGUUCCAAAGCUAUUAAAGUGGCAUUUUCUGCAUUCAUCUCCAACAUUUUUUU
Mauremys mutica (yellowpond turtle) is the source of this 830-nucleotide long non-coding RNA. RefSeq lists it as uncharacterized. NCBI's taxonomy places the organism in Eukaryota, Metazoa, Chordata, Testudines, Geoemydidae. The record is from RefSeq and is a predicted model, not a curated record. The transcript is spliced from 3 exons.